This 283-nucleotide long non-coding RNA is filed under the name Prunus persica (peach). RNAcentral's name for it is "long non-coding RNA (PPER_LNC007986)". The record is from RNAcentral. Lineage: Eukaryota; Viridiplantae; Streptophyta; Magnoliopsida; Rosales; Rosaceae.
UUGGAGGCGAGCUCCACGGGGUGACGUAGGACAGAUGGCGGAAGCAACUGAAGAGGAGCUGGAGCGGCGCGCGUGAAGCGGCAAGUCGGGUAAACCGCAGAUCUGGGCUCCGACCUCAGAAUUGGGCACACGAACCCUCUGCCGGAAGAGAACGGCGUCACGAGUAAAACUCAUUGCGUUGCCAUGACCUGUGGGCUUUUUCGGGCAUCCGACAUCGUUUACUAGCCCGAAAUCCAAUUCUCGCAGUUUUCGAAAACUCUGUUAUUUUCCCACUUCAAUUCCG